UGCACUUUGAAGAAGAGUUCCAGUGUAGUGAUGAUAAAUUGUGUCCUAAGUCUAGGCCAAAACUUGGUAAACAAAUUCAGAUUAUGUUGAAAUGUAGAGAACAUUAGUAUUUGUGUUAUAGGAUCAUAUUUGCUUUUGUUCUUUAAGGGUUAAAAUAAUUCUGUACUCUCCUGGUGAUGUUAUUCAUAAUAAAUUUUUUAAAAAAUUAAUAAAUAUUUUAAUCACACUAAUGUGCAGGGCUUUUUAUUUGUUAAAAUUAUUACUUGUAGACUAUUUCCACUAGAAUACACAAGUUAAUAUAGAUUAGAUAAGAUUAGAUUCACACAGGCAUAAAAGGAACUCCCACUAAAUACGAAAACACAUUGCAGACAUAAACCUCGGUAUGAGUGGGCGAUGUGGUUUUACUUUUAACCACACACAUAUCUGAUUGAAAAGCAAGGGGAAGCUGUGUCAGUUCGUUUAAAAAGCGCUACCAAGAGUACAGAAGUCACAUAUGAACCUGUAAUCUAAAGGUAAACCUGCUUGGUGCUGCACACAAAAAGAGUUUGAGAAACGUUUUGAAACGUUCAUUGUGAAUCUGUAACUCUUAUAGGACUUUCUUAAACACCAUGAAGUGGCUUUUAAUUUCUUGCAUCACUGUGAUGGUUUACCUGCUGAUGCCGCAGUGCCAAGCCUUCAUCGUCAGAGAAUCGAUGGUGAAUGAAGCCCUGACCCUCCCGUGUAACUGCUCAGGAAAUUGUCCAGUGGUUUUGUGGAUCCAUUUCAUUCCUGACAAAGUUGUCGUUGUUCAAAGCUGGAUUUGUUCAAAACAAGAGAAUUUUAACAAAAGAUUUACACUACCAGGAGAUACAAGCAGAGGAGAUUUCUCCCUGAUGAUCAGUUCAGUAGCCUACACUGAUGCAGGCUCUUACAUGUGCAGAUGUAAUGAAAAAUCAGUGACAGAAGUAAAGCUGAAAGUUAUCAGGCAACAACAAUUCACAACCACCAACAGCGCUCCAGUUUCAGGAGGGUUUGCACUGCUAGGAUUGUUCAUCUCAGUAGUGAUCAACAUUUACAUUACAUGAGAUUACCUGAUAAUUUUUAUUACAUGAGAAAAUGCAGAGACCAGAUUUUAUCUAAGACUGCAGGAUCUUUAGCUUUCAUGUACAUCACUGUUCUGUUGUCCUGUAUGUUCCUUUUAUUCUGUGUGUUUAUUGUCCUGUUCUCAUCUCACACUGUAUGCAAUCUUAUGUACUGUUACAUGUUACACCAUGGUACUGGAGUCAUUUUUGUUCUAUAAUGUACAAGCUAUAUAGCUGUGAUUUGUGAAGGGACUCAUG
Molecule: long non-coding RNA, 1319 nt
Organism: Tachysurus fulvidraco (yellow catfish)
Lineage: Eukaryota; Metazoa; Chordata; Actinopteri; Siluriformes; Bagridae
Exons: 4
Source: RefSeq, a predicted model, not a curated record